GCCACAGUGGGAUAGUGGUUUGAGUCUUGGACUAUGACUCUGGGGACCAGGGUUCAAUUCCCAGCUCAGCCA
Non-coding RNA from Phrynosoma platyrhinos (Desert horned lizard), 72 nucleotides. The record is from the annotation of a GenBank genome assembly. NCBI's taxonomy places the organism in Eukaryota, Metazoa, Chordata, Lepidosauria, Squamata, Phrynosomatidae.